CUUCCGUCCCAGAGCAUAUCCAAUCUCAAAAAUGUUUUGAACAAAUAUCCAAAUAUUAUUAUUUAAUAGACA
RNAcentral lists this transfer RNA (72 nucleotides) under Lithospermum caroliniense. RNAcentral's name for it is "Lithospermum carolinense tRNA-Gln". Lineage: Eukaryota; Viridiplantae; Streptophyta; Magnoliopsida; Boraginales; Boraginaceae. The record is from RNAcentral.